This 2377-nucleotide unclassified non-coding RNA is filed under the name Leptinotarsa decemlineata (Colorado potato beetle). Its description in RNAcentral is "uncharacterized LOC111510208, transcript variant X3". Lineage: Eukaryota; Metazoa; Arthropoda; Insecta; Coleoptera; Chrysomelidae. The record is from RNAcentral.
UGCUGCCAUCUGACGGUCUUUAGCUAUGAGAUUUCAGUUCACUAGAUGUUAGUUCUAUGUGUAUUCGUAGCGCUUUUAUGAUUUUUACUUUUUGCUGUGACGUAUUAUUAUUUGUUUAUUAUUUAUUUAUUCUUCUAUGAUUUAGUGUCAAAACCUGAAAGCUAGCUAUUUCUGUUAAAAUGGUAGUUAUUUACACUUAUAUAUCUUGAAAUAUGUGAAGUUGUCUAUAUGCGUAUAGGCUGUCAGAGCCAUGUACGUGAAAAAAUGUUUCGUUCCAAAAUGCCCCAAUACAAGUUUGGAUUUAGAUAAAAUAUUCAUAAGAGUUCCAAAAAUAAUGGAGGUGAGAAAGAAAUGGUGUGCUGCAGUCAAAAGGACGAAUAUUCCUUCUACAAGAACACCUGAUGUAUUUUGCUGUGAAGAUCAUUUUAAUAUGGAGAAAGAUUCUGAGAACUGGUUGGAACAUAAAAUGGUCAAAAUGAGAUUACGUAUGAAAAAAAAUUGUUUGCCACAUCUUAAUCUUACCUCUAAUGAAAAUAUUAAAGACUCCAAUUCAUCAGAGUUAAUUCUUGUUCCAAAAAAAGAGAAAGUUGAAAUGGUAGAGGUUGCUGACAAAACUGAUUGUGAGAAUAGUUCUCCAUCAACUCCAUAUAAUUUUAUGGGAACUGCUGCAAACAUUUAUCUUCCACCCACUUUGCGAGAAGAACCCAACGCAUCACAAAGGGAAAUUGGCAUACAAGUAAAUAUCAAGAAUCCAAGGAGAUCGAAGAAAAUUGGAACAAGCUCCGGAACAACGGAACCCGACCAAAACGACGAUGAAGACGACGUCUUUUCCGAAACGGAAGAAAAAAGCACCGACAGACCGAACAUUUCCCACGACGCCCAAGACGAUAGACUGGUCGUCACGACGGUUGUCGUAGAAGAUCAGGACGAAACAAAUGAAGACAUCGACAAAUUUAUGCAAAAUAUAGCCGCCAGGCUGAAGAGAUUACCGCAACAUUCCAUCGACUUGGCCAAAAUGAAUAUUCUCGCUCAAGUAACAGAGCUUGAAUUGGAACAAUCCUGGACGAUCUCAGCAUCAGAACCUUAUUCUUAACAAGACCUGAUGUGAUUUUUGUUUUUGAUCAUGAGCUCACAAUAUGUCAACUUGGUGGGUACCGAGUUAUUCGGGUUGAUGCAGCACGACAGAAAAUAUUUCAAACAUGAUAACGUAACAAAGGAAUCAUCUCGUCAUUUGUAUAAAUAGUUCAACUGUCGUCCCUUUCUGAAUGACGACCUUCAGAAGUUGUGCGAGCAACGGAUUAACCAGGUCUUACUUUUUAAAGUGCGCCAACCCAACUGGCUACUGUCCCGCUACUGGAACAAUCCUUCAACUUGUGUUGAGAUUUCAACUGUGUGAGAAUUUGAGGCUAGCAUUGACUGGAUGAUAAACCAUUUUUGAUGACUAGAUAUAAGAUAUCCCACACCUGCAACCAAUAGGCUAGUUCAAGGAAAUAACUUGAACACUAAUAAAGCCUUAAAGAAAAUUGUAGAACAAUAAAAACUAUUUCGCUGUCGAAUAAACCAUUACUUUUUGUGUUAAUUGAAUACCUCUACAGCUGAAGUAGUGGCAAGACAAGAGAUAGAAUUUCAAGACUAGUAAAAACCCUUCUGACAAGGCAUUCCAUAACUUGGUUGGUGAAAUGCUUGUUGUGAAGAAGGUAACAUUUCUGGUAUUUAGGAGCAGUUGAAAUGGAAAUGUAUUCAGUGUCUCGGGAAAACGGAUAUAUUGAAAAGAAAUUUUUGUUUAUGUGAAGUUAAUGUAAGAUGAGAAAUAACCUUACUGAAAAUUGGUAUUUGGAUUGCCUCCUGUCUGAAAAUUCCAUUAUUUGCUCCUGACAAAUAAUACAUUGUUCCAGAAUUGAAAACAUUUAAGUUUUUCAAUGAAUAUGAAGCCGUUUUUAAUUCUCGAGCUGUUCAAGAAAUUUAAAGUCUGAAGCAGCACGUAGAAUGAAAAUAAUAAUUUGAAGACUUCUCAAAGAAAAUAGUUUUGCUAUUUUGAGAUCAUAGAGAGUUUCACCAAUUGACAAAGACAUAAUUUUCCACCAUUUACUAGUCUGUGACCAUAUCUAUAUAAUUUUGUUACAAAACAGGUUGAUAUGAUUGAUGUCUUUGUUGAAAAUAUUUUCUGUUCAUUAUGGUGCAGUUGAUUCGUUAUUUGAAAAAAAAUAUUUCUCCAGAAUCAUACUGUUGCAGAAAUUUGUUUCAUCUUUUUUUUAGAUUAACAAAAUGCAUUUUAUUUUUCAAGUCGGUAUCUGCCGUUAGAUUUGACAUGAUUUGUAAUAGAAUAAGUGUUAUACUUUUACAUUUUUUAAAAAUAUAUAAAUGUUUUUAUUUUGAA